RNAcentral lists this ribosomal RNA (292 nucleotides) under uncultured bacterium. RNAcentral's name for it is "partial 16S ribosomal RNA". The record is from RNAcentral.
GGACUACCGGGGUUUCUAAUCCUGUUUGCUCCCCUUGCUCUCGCGCCUCAGCGUCAGGUAAUAGCUAGAAAACCGCUUUCGCCACAGGUGUUCUUCCACAUAUCUACGCAUUUCACCGCUACACGUGGAAUUCCGUUUUCUCCGCCAUCCCUCUAGUCUCGUAGUUUCAAAUGCAGCACCAAAGUUGAGCUUUGGUAUUUCACAUCUGACUUACGAAACCGCCUACGCGCCCUUUACGCCCAAUAAAUCCGAUUAAUGCUUGCACCCUCCGUAUUACCGCGGCUGCUGGCAC